Molecule: ribosomal RNA, 305 nt
Filed under: uncultured bacterium
Lineage: Bacteria
Description: bacterial SSU rRNA
Rfam family: Bacterial small subunit ribosomal RNA
Source: RNAcentral
UGUCCCUACGGGGCGCAGCAGUGGGGAAUAUUGCACAAUGGGCGAAAGCCUGAUGCAGCAACGCCGCGUGAAGGAAGAAGGGUUUCGGCUCGUAAACUUCUCUCAACAGGGACGAAAGAAAUGACGGUACCUGAAUAAGAAGUCCCGGCUAACUACGUGCCAGCAGCCGCGGGAAUACGUAGGGGGCAAGCGUUAUCCGGAAUUACUGGGGGUAAAGGGGGAGUAGGCGGCAUGGUAAGCCAGAUGUGGAAGCCUUGGGCUUAACCCGAGGAUUGCAUUUGGAACUAUCAAGCUAGAGUACAGGA